This 485-nucleotide unclassified non-coding RNA is filed under the name Hevea brasiliensis (rubber tree). Lineage: Eukaryota; Viridiplantae; Streptophyta; Magnoliopsida; Malpighiales; Euphorbiaceae. The record is from RNAcentral.
UAUAUAUAUAUAUAUAUAUUCAUGAAGCUGAGCUAGUGUUUUCAUGACUUUCUGCCACUUCAUCAAUCUGAUGAUUUUGAUUCAAUCGAUUUCAAAUUAAUUAAAUAUCAAUUGAAUAUUUCAAUUAAUGAAAUGUUUAAUUAAAUUAGUAAUUAGUUCAAUAAACUCUUUCAUAAAUAUACUGAUAUAAUAUUAAAAAUUAUAUAUUUAAAAAUGAAUUAUUGUUAAAUAAUCUUAAAUUAAUAUAUUAAAUAAUAAUAUAAAAAUUAAACUGUAGAAAGUGUGGCCUCACGACUUGUAUUUAUAUCACAUGAUAUCCUUCUGCCUUGUUAAUGUAUUUGAUCUAUAAUCUAUUAGGGAACUUGACAUGUAAACUAAUUAGUGUUUUGAAAUGUAGUCUUAAGUUGGAGAAUGUAACUUCUUAUGAUUAUUAUUAUUAUUUGAUUGUUUUCUUCUAUAUUUAUCUGUGGCAGGGAACAUUAAAG